AGGAAACAUUUGUCGGUGAAUCUAAAUGUUCUCCUUUCUGGCCAGAGGUGUUUGAGUGUGUGUGAGAUGCUUGUUGUGGACACCUUGGGUUGACAGGUCUUUCCAUGGACACAGACAUCACUGAAGGUGACAUCAUAUAGUGCAGCUAACAGUGUUCAAAGGACUGCACUGCUGAACGGAUCUGCAAAGACCUGGAACAAAUAUGGGAAGUCUUGCACCCCAGCCUCUUCAACUCCACACCCCUGGUAUUAACCCAGGCACACAGGCCCAGUGGAUUAACAACAGCCUUCCCAGAACAGUGGUGUUUACUCGGGAACAAAACCAGCAGCUAUUGAACCUUUUUUCUCUCUUUUAUUCUAUUGGCGCAUAUCUGAAGUAUAGUUGAAGAGC
Molecule: long non-coding RNA, 390 nt
Organism: Oncorhynchus tshawytscha (Chinook salmon)
Lineage: Eukaryota; Metazoa; Chordata; Actinopteri; Salmoniformes; Salmonidae
Source: Ensembl